GAUGAGGACGUAGCGAAAUGCGAUAAGUAAUGUGAAUUGCAGAAUUCAGUGAAUCAUCGAAUCUUUGAACGCACAUUGCGCCCCUUGGUAUUCCGAGGGGCAUGCCUGUUCGAGCGUCAUUAUAACCCUCAAGCUCAGCUUGGUGUUGGGGCCUGCUGCACUGGCAGCCCUUAAAAUCAGUGGCGGCGCCAUCUGGCUCUAAGCGUAGUAAUUCUUCUCGCUAUGGAGUCCUGGUGGAUGCUUGCCAUCAACCCCCAAUUUUUCUAUGGUUGACCUCGGAUCAGGUAGGGAUACCCGCUGAACUUAAGCAUAUCAAUAAGCGGAGGA
This 327-nucleotide unclassified non-coding RNA is filed under the name soil metagenome. RNAcentral's name for it is "partial contains 5.8S ribosomal RNA, internal transcribed spacer 2, and large subunit ribosomal RNA". The stretch from base 5 to 119 matches the Rfam family "5.8S ribosomal RNA", at positions 40 to 154 of the family's 154-position model. The record is from RNAcentral.